RNAcentral lists this ribosomal RNA (461 nucleotides) under Prodaticus bivittatus. RNAcentral describes it as "partial 16S ribosomal RNA". It matches the Rfam family "Bacterial large subunit ribosomal RNA", at positions 1806 to 2534 of the family's 2925-position model. Lineage: Eukaryota; Metazoa; Arthropoda; Insecta; Coleoptera; Dytiscidae. The record is from RNAcentral.
AACAAAAACAUGUCCUUUUGUUUAUUUAUUUAAGGUCUGACCUGCCCACUGAAAUUAUUUUAAGGGCCGCAGUAAUUUGACUGUGCAAAGGUAGCAUAAUCAUUAGUUUUUUAAUUGAAAGCUUGUAUGAAAGGUUGGACGAGGUAAAUUCUGUCUCUAUUUAAUUUAAUAUAGAAUUUAAUUUUUAAGUCAAAAAGCUUAAAUAUUUAUAAAAGACGAGAAGACCCUAUAGAUCUUUAUAUUAUAAUUAAUAAUUUUAAUAUAGAAUUUUUUAUUUAUUAUUAGUUUUAAUAUUUUAUUGGGGUAAUAAAAAGAUUAAAAUAAUUCUUUUUGAAUAUAUUCAUUUAUUUAUGUUUAUAUGAUCCAAUUUUUUUGAUUAGAAGAUUAAGUUACCUUAGGGAUAACAGCGUAAUUUUUUUAGAGAGUUCAUAUCGAUAAAAAAGUUUGCGACCUCGAUGUUG